Molecule: non-coding RNA, 123 nt
Organism: Triticum aestivum (bread wheat)
Lineage: Eukaryota; Viridiplantae; Streptophyta; Magnoliopsida; Poales; Poaceae
Source: Rfam
CAACUACUCCCUCUGUCCCAAAUUUCUUGUCUUAGAUUUGUCUAGAUACGGAUGUAUCAAAUACGGAUACAUCCGUAUAUAGACAAAUCUAAGACAAGAAUUUUGGGACGGAGGGAGUACUUU